Molecule: ribosomal RNA, 495 nt
Filed under: uncultured bacterium
Lineage: Bacteria
Description: partial 16S ribosomal RNA
Rfam family: Bacterial small subunit ribosomal RNA
Source: RNAcentral
GACGAACGCUGGCGGCGUGCCUAAUACAUGCAAGUAGAACGCUGAAGGAGGAGCUUGCUUCUCUGGAUGAGUUGCGAACGGGUGAGUAACGCGUAGGUAACCUGCCUGGUAGCUGGGGAUAACUAUUGGAAACGAUAGCUAAUACCGCAUAAUAUUUACUAUUGCAUGAUAGUCAGUUGAAAGGUUCAACUGCACCACUACCAGAUGGACCUGCGUUGUAUUUGCUAGUUGGUGGGGUAACGGCUCACCAAGGCGACGAGACAUAGUCGACCUGAGAGGGUGAUCGGCCACACUGGGACUGAGACACGGCCCAGACUCCUACAGGAGGCAGCAGUAGGGAAUCUUCGGCAAUGGACGGAAGUCUGACCGAGCAACGCCGCGUGAGUGAAGAAGGUUUUCGGAUCGUAAAGCUCUGUUGUAAGAGAAGAACGAGUGUGAGAGUGGAAAGCUCACACUGUGACGGUAUCUUACCAGAAAGGGACGGCUAACUACGUG